RNAcentral lists this transfer RNA (114 nucleotides) under Clostridia bacterium. RNAcentral's name for it is "tRNA-Thr". Lineage: Bacteria; Bacillati; Bacillota; Clostridia. The record is from RNAcentral.
GUUGCUGUAUUCCUUCAUAAUCGCUUUAUAUUUCAAUUAUAUUCGCUACUUGAAAAACUGAAUUCUUCCUUGGUAAGGAUGAGGUCACCAGUUCAAAUCUGGUCAGCAGCUCCA